CUUUGGUUACACUUAUAGAGAUAAUGGCUUCAUAGAAGGCCAAUUGUUACUGUUGGAAAUAACUACAAGAAACAAACACAUCACACAGCGGAAUCCAACUGCUACUUUUUGACGUAGUCCACCUCGAUACCUGCGCUGUAUUCCACUCAGCCCUCACGCCGUUUUUCCAUGGAGACAGGACUGAAUAUGCCUACACGAAAAAAAGGCAGAUAUAAAAGGUAAUUAUGAAAAGCUGGUGGCAUUGUUGUUUACGUUUCCUCUUUCCAAAAUAAAAGUUACAGUUAUCAAAUUGUAUCAUGUGCCAUUCAUAUAUUUAGAUUUUUAGACCCUGAUUUGCUUGAUGAGGUGUUCAGAUCACCACAAAAAUCUGUUCGGCCUGGGUUGGUCGUCUGAAAAUUAAAAUCCUUUCUGAACUUUCCAAGAUAUUAUUAAUUUAGGAAAAUUGGCAUAUGACAUAAAACGUAGAACAGAACUAGCAGUGUAGAAUAGAGAAAAAAAGAAAGAAAGAAAAAUAAAUAAAUAAAGAGGACCCCUUUUGCAUACGUUUUUUUUUUUUAAUUGCAUUGAAUUAGCUUUGGGACAACCUGAAGUUUACAGGACUUAACAGGGUAAAAAUCCUAUAAGAAAUUUUGAUCUUAUUUAAAAAUCCUAUUGGAAUUUUACAAUCCUAUUGGACAAGUUUGUAAUCCUAUAGGACUGUAACAAUGAACAUACAAAUCCUAUUGGAAUAUCAAGAAAUCCUAAAGGAUUCUUACAAUCCUGUAGAAUCCUAUUGGA
Molecule: long non-coding RNA, 777 nt
Organism: Alosa sapidissima (American shad)
Lineage: Eukaryota; Metazoa; Chordata; Actinopteri; Clupeiformes; Clupeidae
Exons: 3
Source: RefSeq, a predicted model, not a curated record